GACGAACGCUGGCGGCGUGCUUAACACAUGCAAGUCGAACGGUGAAGCGAGUGCUUGCACUCGUGGAUCAGUGGCGAACGGGUGAGUAACACGUGAGUAACCUGCCCAUCACUCUGGGAUAAGCACUGGAAACGGUGUCUAAUACUGGAUACGACCAACCCUUGCAUGGGGUGUUGGUGGAAAGAUUUAUCGGUGAUGGAUGGACUCGCGGCCUAUCAGCUUGUUGGCGGGGUAAUGGCCCACCAAGGCGACGACGGGUAGCCGGCCUGAGAGGGUGACCGGCCACAAUGGGACUGAGACACGGCCCAGACUCCUACGGGAGGCAGCAGUGGGGAAUAUUGCACAAUGGGCGAAAGCCUGAUGCAGCGACGCCGCGUGAGGGAUGACGGCCUUCGGGUUGUAAACCGCUUUCAGCAGGGAAGAAGCGAAAGUGACGGUACCUGCAGAAGAAGCACCGGCUAACUACGUG
This 469-nucleotide ribosomal RNA is filed under the name uncultured bacterium. RNAcentral describes it as "partial 16S ribosomal RNA". It matches the Rfam family "Bacterial small subunit ribosomal RNA", at positions 28 to 507 of the family's 1533-position model. The record is from RNAcentral.